CUUUCCGAUAGCUGUGUUGCAACCACUAAGUUAAAUCGAUUAAAGAAGGAGGGGUCGUUGUCUAGAAGUGUUUCUGGACUCUCUUCCACAAAGUUUCCAGAAACAUCAUUAUUCAACUCCUGCAGAAGUUCAGUAGCACUCUGGGCACGACUCUGACCAAUGUGGCUUUUUUGAAGAAAGAAAUUAUUUCCAACGUCUUCUCCGGAUACCCGAUUCCCAUCCACAAUUGUAAAUGAACCAAUACCAGGUAGCACUAAGUUUUUGAGUAUUUCAGUCCCUG
Molecule: long non-coding RNA, 280 nt
Filed under: Gallus gallus (chicken)
Lineage: Eukaryota; Metazoa; Chordata; Aves; Galliformes; Phasianidae
Source: RNAcentral